This 626-nucleotide ribosomal RNA is filed under the name uncultured Lactarius. RNAcentral describes it as "eukaryotic LSU rRNA". The stretch from base 202 to 355 matches the Rfam family "5.8S ribosomal RNA". Lineage: Eukaryota; Fungi; Basidiomycota; Agaricomycetes; Russulales; Russulaceae. The record is from RNAcentral.
GGGGCAUGCGAGGGCUGUCGCUGACUCAAAGUCGUGCACGCCCGAGUGUGUCGCCUCACAUAAUAAUCCAUCUCACCCUUUGUGCAUCACCGCGUGGGCACCCCUUUGGGAUCAUCUCGGAGGGGGCUCGCGUUUUCACACAAAACCCCCCUUUUAAAAGUGUAGUAUGACCUCAUUUAUGCGCUAACCCGCAAUCAAUACAACUUUCAACAACGGAUCUCUUGGCUCUCGCAUCGAUGAAGAACGCAGCGAAAUGCGAUACGUAAUGUGAAUUGCAGAAUUCAGUGAAUCAUCGAAUCUUUGAACGCACCUUGCGCCUCCUGGUAUUCCGAGGGGCACACCCGUUUGAGUGUCGUGAAAACCUCAACCUCCUUGGUUUCUUCUGGAGACCAAAGCAGGCUUGGACUUUGGAGGCCUUUGCUGGCACCUCUCGCCAGCUCCUCUUAAAUGAAUUAGCAGGGUCCUCUUUGCUGAUCCUCGACGUGUGAUAAGAUGUUUCCAUGUCUUGGUUUCUGGCUCUGUCACCUUUUGGNACCCGCUUCUAACCGUCUUCAACCUUGCGUUGAGACAACGUUCGAGCAUGUCUCCCUUCUCGGGAAGCUCCCUCGACCCCCACGAACCCUUGA